GGAGAAAAUCGUAGAAACAGUGAAGGAAAACCCAGUAGUAGUUGUUAUUGGUGAGACUGGUUCUGGUAAAAGUACACAACUUCCACAAAUACUUUACCGAAGGGGCUAUGCUAAAUCUGGAAUCAUCGCUGUUACUCAGCCUCGCCGUGUUGCUGCUGUUUCUGUUUCUAGACGAGUUGCACAGGAGCAAAAUGUUCGAAUUGGAGAGGAAGUCGGUU
This 218-nucleotide unclassified non-coding RNA is filed under the name Hevea brasiliensis (rubber tree). The record is from RNAcentral. Lineage: Eukaryota; Viridiplantae; Streptophyta; Magnoliopsida; Malpighiales; Euphorbiaceae.